RNAcentral lists this ribosomal RNA (222 nucleotides) under Triticum aestivum (bread wheat). RNAcentral's name for it is "partial small subunit ribosomal RNA". Lineage: Eukaryota; Viridiplantae; Streptophyta; Magnoliopsida; Poales; Poaceae. The record is from RNAcentral.
UUGCGGUUCAGUGUGGCAUUCUGGCAUAUGUUACGGGGUACUGGAGGAGAUCCUUUUGGUGCACCUACAAAGAACUGGCCUUGGGAGGAUGGCACAAAUUCCCUGGCCAUGGCUAAGAGAAGAAUGAUAUCUCAAUUUGAGUUCAUGAAGAAGCUUGGAGUUGACAGGUGGUGCUUCCAUGAGAGGGACAUCGCCCCUGAUGGCAAAACACUCGCGGUAUGA